RNAcentral lists this ribosomal RNA (536 nucleotides) under Pseudogymnoascus cf. pannorum UFMGCB8082. Its description in RNAcentral is "eukaryotic LSU rRNA". The stretch from base 184 to 337 matches the Rfam family "5.8S ribosomal RNA". The record is from RNAcentral. Lineage: Eukaryota; Fungi; Ascomycota; Leotiomycetes; Thelebolales; Thelebolaceae.
AGGAUCAUUACAGUAGUCACCCGGGUUGCCGCAAGGCCUCUCGGGUAACCUACCACCCUUUGUUUAUUACACUUUGUUGCUUUGGCAGGCCUGCCUUCGGGCUGCUGGCUCCGGCCGGCGAGCGCUUGCCAGAGGAUCUAAACUCUGUUUGUCUAUACUGUCUGAGUACUAUAUAAUAGUUAAAACUUUCAACAACGGAUCUCUUGGUUCUGGCAUCGAUGAAGAACGCAGCGAAAUGCGAUAAGUAAUGUGAAUUGCAGAAUUCAGUGAAUCAUCGAAUCUUUGAACGCACAUUGCGCCCCCUGGUAUUCCGGGGGGCAUGCCUGUCCGAGCGUCAUUACAACCCUCAAGCUCUGCUUGGUGUUGGGCCCCGCCGCCCCGGCGGGCCCUAAAGUCAGUGGCGGUGCCAUCCGGCUCCGAGCGUAGUAAUUCUUCUCGCUCUGGAGGUCCGGUUGUGUGCUCGCCAUCAACCCCCAAUUUUUUUCAGGUUGACCUCGGAUCAGGUAGGGAUACCCGCUGAACUUAAGCAUAUCAAU